GAUCACAACAUCUCUGCAUACAGGCUUUGGUCAUUUCAAUUGUGUAUAAUGGCACUCUGGGGAAGUGCCAUUGUGAUCAUAUUUUUAUAUAUCUGGGGAUGUAAUUCUCAAGACAAAGUUGAUCAGUAUACAAAGAUUCAAUCUGCUGUUGAAGGUGAUGAUGUAACAAUCAACUGUACAUAUCAGACUGGUUACUCAAACCCGACUCUCUUCUGGUACCAGCAGAAAGUAAAUGAAAUCCCCAAGUUCAUGCUAAAUAAAUUAUCUACAACCGGACAGAAUGAAGAUGAAUUUAAGGAGAGAUUUCAAGCAAAUCUCAGCAAAACAUCAGUUCCUCUGACAAUCCAGGAUUGCAAACAUGACGAUCCUUUAUGUUCUGCUUCUGCUAUUGAUGAUAAAAAGAGAGACGUUUGCACAGUCGAUAAAGCCGCAGGAAAACAAGGUGCUUAAAUCUGAAGGAGAAAAAGUCACUCUGUCCUGUAAAUAUAAUGGAUCUGUAGAAAACCUGCACUGGUAUCGUCAGUAUCUGGGAUCCAAACC
This is a non-coding RNA of Pimephales promelas (fathead minnow), 540 nucleotides long. Lineage: Eukaryota; Metazoa; Chordata; Actinopteri; Cypriniformes; Leuciscidae. The record is from the annotation of a RefSeq genome assembly.